CAUCCUCAUCCCGUGAACAACCAAACUAUCCUCCCCUGUUUCAACUUCAACGUCCUCAACCGAACCCAACAAUCUCCCAGCCAUCUUUCGGAUCCCAUGGAAUCUCCUAGCAUCCCACAGUCAGCCUCCGAGAUUAUUCCCAGCCGUCUUCUAGAUUAAUCCCAGCCAACUGCAAAUCAAAGUCAUCCUUAUCCCCUGCGUGAUAACAGAGGCUGUGAAGGCUAUAAAAGGGAAUCAAUGCAUGCAAGCUAGAGGCAUUCCUCCUCUCCCCCACCGGGGGGCAUUCCCUCUUCCCCCACUGGGGGGGAGGCUUCUCCCAACUCUCUUCACAGGCCAAGUUCCCACCGGGAGAAGAAGAGCUCGGUUUCACAGGUGAAGUUCCCACGGAAGAAGAUGAAAUAACAGGAGAGAGAAGAGUUUGGGUCUUUUUGGGAAUGCCUUCUCAAAAGAAAAAAAGAAAAUGAAGUGCUGAGGCAGAGGAAGCCGAUCGUGAUAGAAAUGGAAGCCCGCUGCUGUGCCACUNNN
Molecule: long non-coding RNA, 525 nt
Filed under: Phoenix dactylifera (date palm)
Lineage: Eukaryota; Viridiplantae; Streptophyta; Magnoliopsida; Arecales; Arecaceae
Description: long non-coding RNA (PDAC_LNC008072)
Source: RNAcentral